RNAcentral lists this ribosomal RNA (484 nucleotides) under uncultured bacterium. RNAcentral's name for it is "partial 16S ribosomal RNA". It matches the Rfam family "Bacterial small subunit ribosomal RNA", at positions 29 to 507 of the family's 1533-position model. The record is from RNAcentral.
AUUGAACGCUGGCGGCAUGCUUUACACAUGCAAGUCGAACGGCAGCGCGGGCUUCGGCCUGGCGGCGAGUGGCGAACGGGUGAGUAAUACAUCGGAACGUGCCCGGUAGUGGGGGAUAGCUCGGCGAAAGCCGGAUUAAUACCGCAUACGACCUGAGGGUGAAAGCGGGGGAUCUUCGGACCUCGCGCUAUCGGAGGGGCCGAUGGCGGAUUAGCUAGUUGGUGGGGUAAAGGCCUACCAAGGCGACGAUCGGUAGCUGGUCUGAGAGGAAGACCAGCCACACGGGGACUGAGACACGGCCCAGACUCCUACGGGAGGCAGCAGUGGGGAAUUUUGGACAAUGGGCGAAAGCCUGAUCCAGCAAUGCCGCGUGUGUGAUGAAGGCCUUCGGGUUGUAAAGCACUUUUGGCGGGAACGAAAAGGACUGUGCCAAUACCACGGUUCGAUGACGGUACCCGCAGAAUAAGCACCGGCUAACUACGUG